GUUGGCCAGGAUGGUCUCAAUCUCUUGACGUCGUGACCCACCUGCCUUAUCCUCCAAAAGUGCUGAGAUUAUAGGCAUGAGCCACAAGCCCAGCCGACAUUAUUUUUUAUAUCGUAAUUGCUCUCCAGAGCUUUAUACAAGGUGUGCAUAAUUACCCACUAUGUAUACUUCUCCUGUUAUAAUUUUUAUGGCCAACGUGAUCAACAUGUGCAAAUUGCAUGUAUCAGUCUGAUUCCUUAACUGUGAUAAUUGGAUUCUCCAUGCAAUUAAUUACAGGUAGCAAUGACGUUUUGAGCACCUUAUACGGGUGCUGGACAGUUUUGUUUUGUUUUAGUUUUGUUUUCUAAAUAUGAAAUAGCAUUAAGAAAGUCUAAGUUCUUGGAGCCACACCAGAUUAUAGGGGUGCCUUUCAACAGUAAAUAGCAAUUUUCAUUGUCACACCAACCACCUCAGGACAAGGAAAUCCCCAGAGGAGAUUCAAUGUUUUUAACUUUAUAAGCCAAGAAAUUAAACAUCUCUUUAUUACUAAGUGAUGUUCAUUGGUGUUGGAUUAGAAUGUGAUACAGUUUGAGUGGUGUAUACACUCUGGGGUAUCAUGAACAGUGACUGCCCAACUGCAAAAAAAAAAAAAAAAAAGGAAAAAGAAAAAAAAAGGAGUUUAAUCCAUUCUACAUGAUCAGGUAAUCAGGAAUCAGACUCUGCAUGCUUAAAGCCAAAAUAUGCCUUCCAAAUAUGUGCAUGUGUGUGUGUGUGUUUGUGGGUGAGUGAGUGUGUGAGCCACUUCUGAGCAAAGUGGCGGACUGGAUGGUUGAUCUACUUAUCCACUUAUGGCCACAUUAAUUAUACUUCAACCCCUUGUUUUGUUCAUGUGUGCCAGGAAAUGCAAUGAGUCAAUAUACUUACUGAGAUUGCAGAAGAGACUGAACACUGCGCUAGGCUCUGAAGAGAAAGAUGAAAAAGAAGAAAGUGCUCCUGAGUAUAUGACUACUUGUACUUGCUAGCACUGAGGCAAGUACAAACUCUAGGCAUCAGGCUUUUGGUCUCACUCUUAGCGAAUUUGAACACUGGCUUUUUUGUUGGGCUUCCAUUCUUCUCUCAGCGCAAGAAUACCAACGUUUAUGACCCAGGAAGCACCAACUUAUACUUCACAGAGCUAAGAAACAGCAUUUCGCCAUGUCACGCAGGCUGGUCUUCAACUCCUGGACUCAAGCUAUCCACGGGCCUCGGCCUCCCAAAGUGCUAGGAUUACAGGCAUGAGCCACUAUGUCCGGCUUGGAGUUUUUAGUCUCAUCAAACCAACUCACCCAAAUGUCCCUUGGUGACAAAAAGUUUUCUGAAAGAUUAAGUAAUCUUUGUUUCCCAAGCCUGACAAAAUAAAAAGUUUUCUGUCUCUCUCUUUCUCUUUUGCACUGUUUCUCUUUAAGUCUUGUUAGAAUACAGAACUGUAGACAUUUAGACAGAGCCAGGGUCAUUGUCUUGACUGGCCCACUGACCAGAUUAGUAAUUCUUAAACUAGGGUCCCUAGACCAGCACCACAGGCAUCUGUGGGCUUGUUAGAAAUGCACAUCCUUGGACCACUGAAUCAGAUAUUUUGAGAGUGGGCUCAAUAAUCUCUGUUUUGAGAAGACCCCCAAGUAAACCUGAUGCACAGUAAUUGUUGAGAAACACUGAAUAAAUUGUAUACCAUUAGCCUGUUUUUAAAAAUCAUCUGAGCCAUUCCUUUAUUAUAUGAGAUGACCAUUAAAAUCUCACUCAGUUUUAUCAUAUAAUGAAACAUUUGGUGAUAGCAUAAAACUCUAUUUUGAUGGCUCAGUUUUUAUGAUUUCCUUUGAUAUAAUUGUUUCCUUAAGAAGGUGCCAGUUUUGAAAAGGAAACUGUUUUGUUCCCUUUUGUACAGCACAAGCUAAGGAUCUAUGAUGGAAUGAUAAUUAAUCUGUAAACUAUAAUUAUGUUGUCGAUUCUGGCUGUAUAUGGGGCAUACCUGAUUCAUCUGCUACUUGAUGUCCUGCAUGACCAUCACCAGACACCAAGCAGCAGAACAAGACCAUGGACCACAGAGUCCUGGAAAUGUCUACCUCCUGAGCUGAGCCACCACCAGGAAUGGUGUCAGUAAAUGCAUGAGCACCAGAGUAUUUUGAAUGAAAGGAAAAAAGUGCAAUUCAGGAUAUGACUCCCUACCCCAGCCUACUAGCAGAUCCCAAAUGUUGUCAUAAUCCAGUAAAAUAUAACACUACCAAGUUGUGAGGCACUGAGAAACCAUUGCAGGUGAUAGCCAACUGUGUGUUCCCAACUCUGAGCAGUUCUGCCUGUCAGAAUCUUCCCAUCUCAGUCCCCACCCACCUCUUCAGCCUCAUGUUUCCUCAAGCCUUUCUUCAGAUUGACCACACUUCACUUCUGUGUCUACGAGGAUUUGCCUUGUCACUAAAAUUGUUAUGUUACAAUAGGGCCCCAUAUCCAUUAGGUAAUUGGCUUUGUCAUCACCUUCACUUCUAGUUACUUUCUUGGAAUGUUAAAUGAAACAUUCUUGCCUUAAUAGUAACAUCAGUUCCUACAUAUCUUCCUUGUGUGUGUUUGGUUGGCUGAUUGUCACUUUCUACUCUGAAUGUUGAAUCAGACUGCCACUUUCUACUCUGAAUGUUGAAUCACCUUCUUGCUCUGCCCUCUACUUGCAUUUUCUUGUCUACUUACCUGUCCACUUAUCUUUUGAUCUUUUUGCCUCCCCUUCUUUGGGCAUCCCUGUCCUUCAGCUUGCCUGGAUAUGACUUCUAGCCUUGUGUGAUCUUGGAUAUGUGUGCGUAGCCCAAAGUUAUACCAUUCAACAGACUCCAAUGUCAUUAAAGGGAUCUUGUUCCACCAUGUAUUUUUCUGCCUUUUCCCCUAAAUUACCAAAAUUUUUGGCCUGUUAACAUUUCUGUCUCUGUAUACAGAUCAUAGUCCUUUAAUGUACUUUACUACAUGCAGAAAUUCUAUUGAUUUGGAUUCAAGUCUUUCAUAUUUGGCAUUGCUUUGCAAUUCACUUGCUCUUUUAUAGACCCAUUUUGACAGUUCUCAAGAAGGCUGGUGAAACAAGCCUGGCUGUGAUUUGGGCUGCAAUUCUUUCUUUCUCUCCGUGAGAAAUCUUUGUAGCACUGUAGUCAAAGCUGCAUACAGAAUUGUCUGACCAGCUGCUGUCCAUGGAUAGAGCCAAGGCACCAGGCUGACCUCAUACCUAAGAAGCAGUUAUUCAGAAGUUGUACAUGAUUAUCAAAGAUGGAAUUUAUCUCUACCUAGGGCUAAAAGUUUAGGCAGUUCUGUACUGAUUACUUUUUUCAGUCACAUCAAACUCAUCCUCAUACAGAAUAAAAUAAAAUAAGUUUUUCGUGUGCCUGUCUUGCUUUGGGAAAUGAAGAAAUGAGAGUAAGUAUCAUCUUGUUUAUGAAGAGCAAAUACUAUGAUUAAAAAUCAAGAUUAAAAACCUCACACUGUUCAGGACAACUGGAUCACAAGAAUAUUUUGGUUUCAAGUAUCACUGAAUUUUAUUAAUCUCUCUAAGAAAACUUUAUACAAAUAAUAAUUAAGCCUUGGAUUUGCUGAAUGGAUGUUGGAAAAUAGUAAGGUAAAGAGAGGCCAGCAAUCUCUUUUGAACUACUAGCCUUCUGGACCAGUGUGACUCUGCCUUUGAUGAGGAGUACAGGAGGAGGAGAAAGACUUUUAAGAAGAUUGAGCACUUGUCAUAAAACAAGACUGCUAGGGACAUACAUAGCAUGGUUGAAAAAAUGACUUUUGGAGUCUCACUAUGGUCUGUACUAGCGCUAACAACAAAUGAAAAUACAAUGUGGGCCAAUUUGUAAUGUUUAAUGUUCUAAUAGCCACAUUAAUAUAUGUGAAUAAUCUGAUAAAAUUAAUUUCAACAAUAUAUUUUAUUUACCCAAAUAUGGAUGAAAUUAUUAUCCAACAUAUAAUCAAUGUAAAAUGUUUUUAAUGAAAUACUUUCAUUUAAAAAAAUUUGAACUAAGUUUUUGAAAUCCAGUAUGCAUUUUAAACUUGCAGCACAUCUCAGUUCAGACUAACUAUAACUCAAGUACUCAAUAGCACCUGUAGCCAGGGGCUCCCCUAUUGAACAGUGUAAUUUUGGUCCCAUAGCAUCCUCCAUUGACCAAGCAAUGAAGAAAAAAGUCCAACUAUGGUCCAGGAAAAAUAUCCAGUGCUGGCUGUGUCUAUAUUCUAAUAGUGAAUGCAUAGGUCAUCAUACAUAGUACAUGAUAAGCACUAGGAAUUGGGAAGACAAUAGUUAACGUCAUAUCUCUAUUUUGCAAUAGAACUCUAUAAACAGACAUCUUGAUGUUACAAAUUUUCUAUGUGGUUGAUGAUGUAGUUAAGUUAGGAAAAGUAGAGCCAAGCCGUGCCUCCAGAGAUAAGUCUUUUAGUUAACUUGAUCCUCUGGAAAAACAUUCUCUAUGAUGAAAGCUCAAAUGGUUCUUGCCCAUGUCUAAUACAUUGUGAGGUUUGGCUCUAUGUCCCCACCCAAUCUCAUGUUGAAUUGUAAUCCCCAUGUAUUGGAGGAAGGGCCUGGUGGGAGGUGAUUGGAUCAUGGGAGCGGAUUUCCCCCUUGCUGUUCUUGUGAUGGUCAGUGAGUUCUCAUGAGAUCUGAUGGUUUAAAAAUGUGUAGCACUUCCCUGUUUGCUCCCUCACUCUCCUGCAACCAUGUGAAGAAUGUGCCUUGCUUUCCCUUUGCCUUCUGCCAUGAUUGUAAGUUUCCUCAGGCUUCCCAGCCAUGCUUCCUGUUAAGCCUAUGGAACUGUGACUCAAUUAAACCUCUUUUC
Molecule: long non-coding RNA, 4802 nt
Filed under: Homo sapiens (human)
Lineage: Eukaryota; Metazoa; Chordata; Mammalia; Primates; Hominidae
Description: HSALNT0040528
Source: RNAcentral